UUAUCAGAAGUGCGAAUGCUGACGUGAGUAACGACAAAACGGGUGAAAAACCCGUUCGCCGAAAGACCAAGGGUUCCAGUCCAACGUUAAUCGGGGCUGGGUGAGUCGACCCCUAAGGCGAGGCCGAAAGGCGUAGUCGAUGGGAAAAUGGUUAAUAUUCCAUUACUUCUGUGUAAUGCGAUGAGAGGACGGAGAAGGCUAAAUCAGCCUGGCGUUGGUUGUCCAGGUGAAAGGAUGUAGGCAUGUAUCUUAGGCAAAUCCGGGGUACUCUAUGCUGAGAUCUGAUAGCAAGCUGUACUUGUACAGCGAAGUGGUUGAUGCCAUGCUUCCAGGAAAAGUCUCUAAGCUUCAGUUACACAGGAAUCGUACCCGAAACCGACACAGGUGGUCAGGUCGAGUAGACCAAGGCGCUUGAGAGAACUCUGCUGAAGGAACUAGGCAAAAUGGUACCGUAACUUCGGGAGAAGGUACGCUGUUGUUGGUGAUGGAACUCGCUUCCUGAGCUGACGACAGCCGCAGAAACCAGGCCGCUGCAACUGUUUAUUAAAAACAUAGCACUCUGCAAACACGAAAGUGGACGUAUAGGGUGUGAUGCCUGCCCGGUGCUGGAAGGUUAAUUGAUGGGGUUAGCGUAAGCGAAGCUCUUGAUCGAAGCCCCAGUAAACGGCGGCCGUAACUAUAACGGUCCUAAGGUAGCGAAAUUCCUUGUCGGGUAAGUUCCGACCUGCACGAAUGGCAUAAUGAUGGCGGCGCUGUCUCCAGCAGAGGCUCAGUGAAAUCGAAAUCGCUGUGAAGAUGCAGUGUACCCGCGGCUAGACGGAAAGACCCCGUGAACCUUUACUGCAGCUUGACACUGAACUUUGACCUUACUUGUGUAGGAUAGGUGGGAGGCUUUGAAGCUGGAACGCUAGUUCCAGUGGAGCCGUCCUUGAAAUACCACCCUGGUAAUGUUGAGGUUCUAACUCUGUCCCGUGAUCCGGGACGAGGACCGUGUCUGGUGGGUAGUUUGACUGGGGCGGUCUCCUCCUAAAGAGUAACGGAGGAGUACGAAGGUGCGCUCAGCGUGGUCGGAAAUCACGCGUAGAGUAUAAAGGCAAAAGCGCGCUUAACUGCGAGACCCACAAGUCGAGCAGGUACGAAAGUAGGUCUUAGUGAUCCGGUGGUUCUGUAUGGAAGGGCCAUCGCUCAACGGAUAAAAGGUACUCUGGGGAUAACAGGCUGAUACCGCCCAAGAGUUCAUAUCGACGGCGGUGUUUGGCACCUCGAUGUCGGCUCAUCUCAUCCUGGGGCUGAAGCAGGUCCCAAGGGUAUGGCUGUUCGCCAUUUAAAGAGGUACGCGAGCUGGGUUUAGAACGUCGUGAGACAGUUCGGUCCCUAUCUACCGUGGGCGCUGGAAAUUUGAGAGGAUCUGCUCCUAGUACGAGAGGACCAGAGUGGACGAACCUCUGGUGUACCGGUUGUGACGCCAGUCGCAUCGCCGGGUAGCUAUGUUCGGAAGGGAUAACCGCUGAAAGCAUCUAAGCGGGAAGCCUACCUCAAGAUAAGAUUUCCCUAGGACUUUAUGUCCUCUAAAGAGCCGUUCGAGACUAGGACGUUGAUAGGUUGGAUGUGGAAGCAUAGUGAUAUGUGAAGCUGACCAAUACUAAUUGCUCGUGAGGCUUGACUAU
This 1667-nucleotide ribosomal RNA is filed under the name Acinetobacter baumannii 1036938. Its description in RNAcentral is "bacterial LSU rRNA". It matches the Rfam family "Bacterial large subunit ribosomal RNA", at positions 1279 to 2925 of the family's 2925-position model. Lineage: Bacteria; Pseudomonadati; Pseudomonadota; Gammaproteobacteria; Moraxellales; Moraxellaceae. The record is from RNAcentral.